RNAcentral lists this transfer RNA (71 nucleotides) under Loxodonta africana (African savanna elephant). It matches the Rfam family "tRNA". Rfam says of the family: Transfer RNA (tRNA) molecules are approximately 80 nucleotides in length. Lineage: Eukaryota; Metazoa; Chordata; Mammalia; Proboscidea; Elephantidae. The record is from Rfam by way of RNAcentral.
GCAGUUGUGGUUCACUGGUAGAAUUCUCACCUUCCACGCGGGAGACCCGGGUUCGAUUCUUGACCAAUGCG